Molecule: transfer RNA, 69 nt
Filed under: Heterobothrium okamotoi
Lineage: Eukaryota; Metazoa; Platyhelminthes; Monogenea; Mazocraeidea; Diclidophoridae
Description: tRNA-Asp
Source: RNAcentral
UACUAAAUUAGUUUAUUUUAAAAUACUAGCUUGUCGAGGUAGGGAAGGUCCUUAUUAACCAUUUAGUAU